Quercus robur (English oak) is the source of this 939-nucleotide long non-coding RNA. RefSeq lists it as uncharacterized. Lineage: Eukaryota; Viridiplantae; Streptophyta; Magnoliopsida; Fagales; Fagaceae. The transcript is spliced from 2 exons. The record is from RefSeq and is a predicted model, not a curated record.
UGAGGUUAUUUUAAAGUAUAUUAUGCAUUAAAAUGUUUUUUAUUAGAGAUAUGACAUGUAAUCAUUAUUUUGACAAAGGUCUGUUCGUGAGCUUUCGAAACCUUAUGUAUAUGAUUUCAGCAUAUUGAUGCUAUUACUGAUUCCGCGAACAUGAUGUUUAAAGAAAAGAAUGGAAAUGUUAUUAUCAUGAAAUGUCAUGCAAAACAAGAAAUUUCAAUAUGAUGUAAAGUAUGAAAUGUUUUUGGGUUAUGUCCUCUGGUAAUCUGAACUCGGCUAGUAGGGGUUAAUUACUGGUUUUCUAUAAAAAAAUGUUAUAUGUUUGGCCAUUUAAAGUAGAGGAAAUGAGGCUGCCUGUAACUCUAGGCCAUUUAAAGUAGGGGAAAUAGGGUUGCCUGUAACUCUAAUCUGAAUAAGGCCUUCUUCCCAAUGUGUAUGGACGGCGGGGAGGAAUAAAACCUUGAGGAGAUGUGUCAUCAGACCUCUCAAAGAGGACAAUAUCAUGCACACGGGGUCACCCAAAUGUGAUGAGGCCCUCUCUAUACAGCUUAUCAGACAUGGACUAACCAAUAUGUUAUGAACAGUUAUGUUAUGUUAUUAAUCAUGAGAGAAUUAUUUUGUUUAAAUGCAUUGUGAAAAGUGAAAGCUCUCAUGGCAAGAAGAAAUUUCUAAUGAAAAGAAAAGCUGUUCAUUAAAGAUAAAAGUUUCUGAAAUUCUGUUAUGCUAUAAAGUUAGCAGGUUUUAUUUUGGAGCAGAGGGAGCCUUAGUCGAGUUUGGAAGGAGUUGAUUUUAGUUUUAUAUGUAUAGAUCCUAAAUUAGCAAUUUGAUGUUUAGUUUUGUAGUAUUGUGUAUUUUAGGAUCUAAAGAAAGUUGUGUACCUUAAAGUAUUAAGUGAUAUAUUAUGUGAAAGUGUGGAAAUUAAAUGAUUGGUGGAUUAUGUUA